CAGGGUUUGACAUGUACCUGCACCACCGUGAGAGCGGUGUCCCUUCGGGGCGGGUACACAGGUGCUGCAUGGCUGUCGUCAGCUCGCGCCGUGAGGUGUUGGGUUAAGUCCCGCAACGAGCGCAACCCCUGUCGGCGGUUAAACCUGUCCGCCGAGACUGCCACUCCUAAAGUGGAGGAAGGUGGGGAUGACGUCAAGUCAGCACGGCCCUGACGUCCUGGGCCACACACACGCUACAAUGGCUGGGACAACGGGACGCCAACCCGCGAGGGGGAGCCAAUCCCAACAAACCCAGUCUCAGUUCGGAUGGCAGGCUGCAACCCGCCUGCCUGAAGCCGGAGUUGCUAGUAACCGGAAGUCAGCACAUUCCGGUGAAUACGUUCCC
This 385-nucleotide ribosomal RNA is filed under the name uncultured bacterium. RNAcentral's name for it is "bacterial SSU rRNA". It matches the Rfam family "Bacterial small subunit ribosomal RNA", at positions 975 to 1375 of the family's 1533-position model. The record is from RNAcentral.